This 253-nucleotide ribosomal RNA is filed under the name uncultured bacterium. Its description in RNAcentral is "partial 16S ribosomal RNA". It matches the Rfam family "Bacterial small subunit ribosomal RNA", at positions 524 to 776 of the family's 1533-position model. The record is from RNAcentral.
UACGUAGGGUGCAAGCGUUAAUCGGAAUUACUGGGCGUAAAGCGUGCGCAGGCCGCCAUGUAAGACAGAUGUGAAAUCCCCAGGCUUAACCUGGGAACUGCGUCGGAUACUGGCGGGCUUGAAUCCGGGAGAGGGAUGCGGAAUUCCAGGUGUAGCGGUGAAAUGCGUAGAUAUCGGAAGGAACAUCAGUGGCGAAAGCGGCUUCCUGGACCAGCACCGACGUUCAGGCACGAAAGCGUGGGGAGCAAACAGG